UUGAAGAUUUUCUUUUUUAGUUUAGAGAAACAGGUACAAGUUAUGUAGUGUUCUGUGAUUCUGGUUUUGCACACUCAGAGAUAGACCAUACCAUUUAUUGUUAAUUUGAUCUAAAGGCUUUCUUUUCCAUAUUUAGACAUUAUGUUGGUAUAGCUGGUAAUUUGCAUAAGAGAAAUAAAUUACCCGCAUAUUAAAAGGAGUUGAAGUGUCUUAAAUGCUUAUGCAGCCACAAGUAGAACAGUUAGAAACACACUGGUUAUAUUUCUUAAUUAUUGAUAUUUAUUUAUGAGAGUAAUUUUCUGCUUACCAGUUGUCAUUAAUCCUUACAGCUUUAUGGUUCAUAUGCUCCCUUAUGCAUGUGGUAUUGACUUUGUUUAACAAAUUGUAUUAUUCGUACUGUUUUCUAAAUUUGCUGCAGAAACUUGGCAUUCUGCAAAGUCUUGAACUGAAGGAAAGAAUUUUCCUGAUGAAACUUGCGCUGGCCUAACAGAACCAUGACCAAUGUGCAUGAUCAAAGCCCCCAAAGAGUGAGCAAUAAUGAGUUUGAUUGCUAUUGUGAACAUGUUGGAAAACAGCAUAGGAGGAGAUAAAAGCUUGCUUUGACUUUUCUUCAAAUCCUGAGCUCUAACAUACUUCCUAGCCUCAUCUAUACCAGAGGUUCUCAAACAUGACUCUUCAUAAGAAUUGUAAUAGAGUUUGCCUCCUGUCACGAGCACACUAAAAUCACAACUGUCUGCAGAGCGGCCAUGGAUGGAGAAGACUGGAACUUACCAGCGAAGAUAUUCUAUGGUGACACCUGCACCAGAUUGACUGGGACCUUUUAAGACUACGCUGAUGUGUCCGUCUAUCAUAGUUCCUGGUUCAGUAGGUCUAGGGUCAGGACUGAGAAAUGGCCUUUCUAACAAGUUCCUAUGAGGUGCCCUCAGAUAUUGGGCUGGGAACUACCCCUCCCCCAUCCUUUGUUAACUACCACUUUAUUAUUUCAUGAGAUUCAGGGGAAGAGAGGUAUUGUGCCUUUAUAUUCUCCAUCUGCCACCAGUGCCUAGUAUGUAGAUGGCACAAACAAAUACCAUUUGAAUAAAAACAGUUGGCCAAACCCUAUCUCAUUCAUAAUGAAAACACAGAAUAUUGGGCAUUUCUUUUGGCCCAUUAAGGAUAAUGUUUUCCAAAGAGGCUCCAAAAAUAACACUGACCUAGGGAUCUGUGCUGCUGUGGAAUCUAGAGCAUCUGGGGAUACUUUCUAUGAAAACUUAUUUUCCCCCAAGCCACUAAGGUACAGUAAUGCAAUCAGCAUGAUGUACAGGUUUGUUGACUGUUCAGGCUUCCAUUCAGGGGGUCUUGAAAUGAAGAAGCAACAGAAGCAUCUCCUCUAGGACCAUCUGCUCUCAAUUUUUCAGCUGAACCUCCUGAAGACUCACCAGGUGCUAAUUUUGUAUAUGGUUCCAUUGGAAUUCUAUCAUUUUUCUCUAGAUUUUACUUCCCAAAGAAAAGGAAGAAUUCACUGAAGCAGAAAACCUCCCUGACAUAGAGAAGAUCAGGAGUGAUCCCCAGCUG
Molecule: non-coding RNA, 1554 nt
Organism: Odocoileus virginianus texanus
Lineage: Eukaryota; Metazoa; Chordata; Mammalia; Artiodactyla; Cervidae
Source: RefSeq, a predicted model, not a curated record